UACGUAGGGUGCGAGCGUUGUCCGGAAUUAUUGGGCGUAAAGAGCUCGUAGGCGGCCUGUCGCGUCGGUUGUGAAAGCCCGGGGCUUAACCCCGGGUCUGCAGUCGAUACGGGCAGGCUAGAGUUCGGUAGGGGAGACUGGAAUUCCUGGUGUAGCGGUGAAAUGCGCAGAUAUCAGGAGGAACACCAGUGGCGAAGGCGGCUCACUGGCCCGGUACUGACGCUGAGGUGCGAAAGCGUGGGGAGCAAACAGG
Molecule: ribosomal RNA, 253 nt
Filed under: uncultured bacterium
Lineage: Bacteria
Description: partial 16S ribosomal RNA
Rfam family: Bacterial small subunit ribosomal RNA
Source: RNAcentral